RNAcentral lists this ribosomal RNA (432 nucleotides) under uncultured bacterium. RNAcentral describes it as "partial 16S ribosomal RNA". It matches the Rfam family "Bacterial small subunit ribosomal RNA", at positions 29 to 507 of the family's 1533-position model. The record is from RNAcentral.
AACGAACGCUGGCGGCAUGCCUAACACAUGCAAGUCGAACGAGACCUUCGGGUCUAGUGGCGCACGGGUGCGUAACGCGUGGGAACCUGCCCUUAGGUUCGGAAUAACUCCCCGAAAGGGGUGCUAAUACCGGAUAAUGUCUUCGGACCAAAGAUUUAUCGCCUUUGGAUGGGCCCGCGUUGGAUUAGCUAGUUGGUAGGGUAAAAGCCUACCAAGGCGACGAUCCAUAGCUGGUCUGAGAGGAUGAUCAGCCACACUGGGACUGAGACACGGCCCAGACUCCUACGGGAGGCAGCAGUGGGGAAUAUUGGACAAUGGGCGAAAGCCUGAUCCAGCAAUGCCGCGUGAGUGAUGAAGGCCUUAGGGUUGUAAAGCUCUUUUACCCGGGAUGAUAAUGACAGUACCGGGAGAAAAGCUCCGGCUAACUCCGUG